CCUUAAACAAAACAUGAAAUCCCAAUGACUGGAACAGAUACCUGGUAUGUCAGUUAAUUCUUAAUUAUCAUUCUACCCCCUGUUAAUAUGAGUGGACCGGCUCCUCAACAGGCAAUGGGGGGUUGAGGUAUUUUUUAAGGAUUAUUUCAAUUACCUGUCUUAAAUUCACAUUCAGAUCAGAAAUUGAAACUUUUUGAAAACAGGUAAACUUUUUAGAAUUAAAUAAUUUUUUGCGUGUUUGCUUCUGAGCCAAUUAGGUCAUUUGGGUGCCAUGUGCCCUCAGUUUUAACCCUACAUGUUUUCCUUGCAGGGCUGUCACUAGGGGCACCUCCAUGAAAUAGUAGAGUACUGCAAAUUUAGUCAGAUGGUUUUAGAGAGCAGUUUGACGUUUUUGCCGUGCAUGUGUAGUAGCCUAUGGAAACACAUUGGAUUGACUGAGAUCAUCAAUGUUGAUCAAUAAUGACAAUUAGCAAAAAGAAUUGUAGCAUUCUGGGUGCAUUGGUUUGAAAAAACCCAGCGCAACCUUAUAUGUAUUGUAGAGCACAACCGAAUGAUAACGAAUAAUAUUACACAAGGGUCCCCUAUAUAUUACGGAGACUUAGGAAUUGCAAUGAAAAGUCCUGUAAUAGGAUUCAUGCAUUUUUUAGAGAGUAUUAAAAAUCUCACAUCUAUCUGAAUUCUAUGCUAUAUUAUGGAGAUGCACAAUUUGCAAGGCUCGUUUGAUAAAUUACUUCUAUAUGGUAAGACGAGAUUGGUUACCUUAGAGAAACUACUGAGGAGGGCUGUACAAGAAAUGAUGUGGUUGCUGACUGACUGUCUCCCUGAGGUCAGUGCAAUACCAAAGUAUUCCUUGAUGAUCUGACACAGGUUCAGAGACAGGGAACGUUUGUCCCUGCAGAGCUCUAGUCUUACCCCCGAUUUUAGGAACAUAGGAACAGAUCAGAAACCCAGGCCACUUUGAUGAUGGUGGAUAAACAAAAAAUAGAUGAAGAAUUCUUGUCACUUCGGGAAUGCCAUUUAAAGGAUGACUAUAGGGUCCCCCCGACCACUUCAGCUCAAUGAAGUGGUCUGGGUGUCAGGUCCAUCUAGGGUUAACCCUGCAGCUGUAGGAGAGUCCCCAGCACUGAGGGAGCCCGGUGCUGGAGAAAGGUAAGUGUUUAACCCCUUGAUCUAGAUCAUUGCUGGAACUUCCUUGAAGCCUAGUUGGGACUGUACCAUGAGUGCCAAAACAUUAUGGUUUAGUAGUGUCUACAGUUUGGUCAUCUCCUGGAUCUACAGUGAGGAAGAAGGGAUCUGUUCUGUUGGCUGCACAGAUCUGUCUUCUUUCUCAUUAAAAAACUGCAGAAAUGGCUGCAAUGAAUGGCAGGGAGCCAAGAUGGAGGAACUAAAUUCCAGGAAAAAAAAAACCAAAUACAGCAAAAAAAUAUUUACAUUUUUUAGAUCUCACAAAAACAUUUUAAAGAUUGACAAAGGUAAACAUAAUGUUAAACAUCCCAGUAUGGGACUAUUUCCCUUUAACAAGCCCUGUAUUAUGUGGAAUUUAGACGUGUGCAAUUUGUUUCGUUCCGAAUGCAAAUUCUGACAAAUUCCAGAAAUUCGGACGCUUCCGAAUGUCUGAAGUGCUGAAUUUCGGAAUGCCGAUCCGAACCAAAUUUAUGAAUUUCGGAAUGCUGAACCGAAUUGCUGAAGUGCCGAAUAGCCGAAAGUGCUGAAUUGCUUCAGAUUUCUAAAAAGUGGCAAAAGAGGAGAGGGUUGGGGUUUGUGGUUGGGGUAGAGGUAGGGGUAGGGUUAAGUUUAGGGGUAGGGUUAAGGGUUGUGGCAGAGUUAGUGGUUGGGAUAGGGGUAAGGUUAGUGGUUGGAGUAGGGUGAGGGUAGGGGAAGGGUAACCCUAUUCCUAACCCUACUCCUAACCCUAACCCUGCUCCUAACCCUACCAUAACCCAACCUUAAACCAACCCUAACCCUACCCCAACCCCACCCCUAAACCAACCCUAACCUCACCCCUAACCCUACACUUACCCGAAGUGCCGAACCGAAGUGCAGAAGUCCCGAAGUGCUGAAGUCCAGAAUUUCGCAAUGCCGAACCGAACCGAAUAUUUUUCUCAUGUACAUCCCUAGUGGAAUUAACCAUUUAAUCCUUUUCUUUCAUCCAACCACCAGAAGGAGCAGGGAGAAGGAGCUUUCUCCUCCCUAUUCACUUAACUUUUAAUGGGACACUCUAGGCACUAUAACCACAUCAUCUCAUUGAAGUGGUCCCCUGGCUCCGUCACAUUGUGCAGAAAAAACUUUUUUUUAAAUUCUUUAUUUUUGCUGUGCAAAAGGGUUACAAAGAAUCUUGCAAUGCCACAACAGCAAGCACAAGAAAAUCAAUUAAUAGAGGAAUACAACAUACAUCAAACCAUAGACAUAAUAGAUCUGAAUGUUACUUGGCAUUGUGAUAGUGCAGCACAUAUUUUUGGUAAUGUAAACAUUAGGCUAGGUAGACAUGUCUAGGAAACAUAGCCAUAUCUAAGUAAAAAAUCACGAAUAACAGUCUAGACAAGGUGUUUACUAAGCACUUUUAAAUGUGUGAAGGAAAUGCUUGGUCAACUAUGCUUAUUAGAAAACAAGUGAAUAUAUCAUGCUAGCAGUAUAUAACUAGCUUAAUCACAGUACCCUGGAUGUGUAAGGAGUCUCCCUAGGUCAUUCGGCCUAUGCCACUUAGAGUCUAAAUUAGAUAGGACAACUCGGUACCGGACUCUGCUUCCAUCCCCUGCACCUUCCUCAUUCGGCCCAGGAAAAGGAGAGGACUGUGACGAUCCACCAGUGCUGUGUAUCUGGCAGCAUAUGGGGGAAAGCUCCGGUUCAGACCGGUCUCUCUGAGGGCGAGGGGGGCCAGAUCUCCGCAGUCGAUGUGAGUGCUGAUCUGGCAUGUGUAGGUGCUUUCCUCCCUUCUCCUCAGCUCUCCGUUUGUCUCCCGUGUGUGCACAGGAGCUGUAUAGCUGUGUAGCUUUCCAGCUCACCGCUUACCUGCUCGUUGCCUGUCUUGUUUUGCGGUGCGUGGAUGCAGCCUCCGCCAUCUCAGGUGUAGCGGGCCUCUGGCGAGUGCUGCUGGGCUGCUUGAUGUGUGACAGGCUGGUUGUGUGGGAGUCAUCACGGUCCUGUGUAUUAACUGCUUCGCCUUUAGCUUCUUCCAUAACGAAGAGGACGCUGGAGAGUAGUGGUCAUCACUCCUCCCUGGGUGAGGAUAUCUGCAGCGUCCGCCAUCUUAGGGAUACCUUUGAUGGUAGUGUUGGCUUCUGAAGUACUGCUGCUACGCGGUGGGUCAUGAGAGCCUUUUUGUUACUUUGGCUACUAGAUUGCUUGAGAGUGCUGUAGGGCAUAUUCCCCGAUCUCUCUGUCAUGUCGAAAGACUAAGAGUAAGUAUCAUGUUUAGAAAUAGUUGCUGAAUUAGGUCAGAAAUUCAGUGUGUCUCAGGGAGCUCCCCAGAAACACGUUUAGUCGCCAUGCUGGUCAGGCCCCGCCCCGGAGAAAACUAUUUUUUGAUAAUUUUGACACUAAAAGAGUUUCCAGGUUGCCAGAGUUCUGGCCAUCUCUGCUAUGAUGGGUGGUGAUGAUAGAUUCUUCAGAUGAGCAUUCUGAGCCUGCCACUGCCGCCCGUUACUGGUAUAAAUUGAUAUGGCUAAUGUGGAGUAAUACUUUAUCUUAGCCAUAACUCCAGUAGGUGGCACAGCCAUAGACACUCAAGAAACCAUCAUUCAUUAUCAAGCCAUAUGGGACCAGAUUGACUCUGAACAGUGGGAACAUGCCAGGGGAUCUGUAGGAUCCAAACCUGUUCAACUAGAUGAAGUGGUUAUGGUGUUAAGAUUGCACCUUUUAGGUAGAAACACUUAUUAUUGUUUAAAAAUGGCAAUUCAUUUAAUACAAAUAGUAGAGGAUAUCAAAGAGUACUUAAAAACAACGCAUAGACAUAACAAAAUAACUAACCCAUUAAUGCAAGCUGGGCAUCAGUAAGCAAUUCAUUAGAAAUCAGAUUGUGCCUGAAACCUCACUAUAAGUUUCAUUAGGUUCCCAUUCAUUUUUCACAUUCUUAUUUGUUUGUUUUUUUAAAAGGUGACCAUUUUCUUCGCGAAGGAAACAAUCUGCGCCAUAUGUAUCCAAUAGACAUAAUAUAAUUGUUUGCAUAUUUACAUCUAAAUCAAGCAAAAAGCAAAGAAAUCUUUAAAAAGGGAAAUUGAGAACAUGCCCCAUGUAUUUGCCACAGGGUCAAAACAAAAUAAGUAAAUAAAUAAAUAGGUUCCAUACAGAUCUCAUGUGUCUAUGUCUCUUAUGAAUGGGUAACAGCAAGCAAGCUCUAACCUUUCCUCUGUUUAUGAUGAGUUUGGGGUUAAUGUUCUGCCUGAUGUCCACAUUUCUUUGUUCUGUCGCCUCGAUAUUUAUACCGGAAUAAAAAAUGGUGGAACAGUCACCAUGGUGAUAGGGAAGGUCUUCCACAACGAGGAGUGCUAAUAUUUACACCAAAAUAGCCAAACUAAGAAAAUACCAUGGGAAUUUUUUUUAACUCAUUUACUUCAGUCUAAAAUGUUCAAUUCCUGAACAAUUUAGUGAAUAACUCUCUCAGUAAAGAGCAUGUUAGUGCCAGACAGUCAAUGGUGCCCCCCCGUGAUGACCAUGUCGGCAAAGGGGAGUGAUGUCAAUCAUGGGGGAUCGGACUUUAACGAGAACUUGGCCUUGUCGCUGGAUUGAUGUGAGUAUUUAGCUUCUUUUUUUUUUUUUAUUCGGUGGGUGGAGGUAGACCAGCAAGGGUUACUCUAACCAAAACCAGUGUUUUAUGAAAAAAAAAAAAAAAGGAAACAAUGGCUCAAUAAUAAAAUAAAAAAUGAUACAAAAAAUAAAUAAAAUAGGCAAAUCUUUGCCGGUGAAAACAAGCGUGUAGAAAGCAAAGGACAAUAAUUCAAAUAUUUUUUAAGAGGCAGGCCCCAUCUGGCUUAUUUUUACAGUAAAUAUAGACAAGGGAAUUUUUGUGAGGAAAUGUGUGCUACCAGAGAACUGCCUCCAUGCCUUCUACUAGUUAAAGUCUCAAAGAACGGAGGCAGUCAGAUGUUACAUUUACCCCCUGGACCUAGGACCUCUCGUUUUAAGAGAGAGAGAGAUGCAUGCACUAGAGAAAAGUGCACACCUCUCACGGAAUGACUGUGUUAGACCCCUUGUGAUGGUGUGUUUGACCUAAACAGCAUUGUGCAGCAGAUAGGAGGUAGAACGUAUCACAGGAAUUAAUAAGAAAUCCAAAUUGUAAGCCACAUUUACAGUCGCUUCCAUUGAUAAAUUCUUGCAGUAAAUAAAGCGACUGUCGGUUUUUUUGACCCAUAAAUAUGACCUCUGAUGGCUAGAGGAACUAACCAAAAGGAAGUGGAAGAGACUAACACCAGUCAUUCAUUCAACAACCUAUUUCCCUCCCUUUGGCUUGUACCCCAUCCAACAAAAUGGACUGGCAGAGUUCCAAAACAUGAUAACGGGGACUAACUAUGCCCGGAGGAAAUACUGAUAUAUGGAUUUACCUUCCCAAAGCCAACUACUCUAAGUGUAGCACUUAUGGCUGGAUGGAAAUUAAACCAGGGAUCAAAAGGACGUUUCUUGGCAUAGAGAAUUUAGGCUGGUGGAUUUUGUAAAGCCCAAAAUUAAUUCUUAAUUAUGUAUAGGUAUUGAUGUUUUUUUUUUUCUUCUUUGAGUCCAAUUUUUAUUGAUUUUUUCUUUUGCACAAACACUUAUAAGUAAAACAUUACAGUGGUAUCAAAAAACGUGUUGCGUUUUUUAAGUAUUUUGCUCAUUCAGACAAGGGAACUUACUACACUACAAAAAUUAAGUUGUUUUAUUUUUCCUCUGCAGCUCUGCCUUGUUCUCAGAAUUUUUCUCUUUGAUUCAUGGCAUGGGAUCGUGGAAAGUUCCGUAAAGCGCAGUGUUGUAUUGCAUAUGAAUAUAAGAAUUUGUGUUUAUGAAUGCGUGUGUAUAUGAAUGUGAGUAUGUGCAUGUAAUUUUACCUAACAAAAGGGGAUUCGAGGGGUGCAGAAUGAGACACAACUUUUUUUUUUUUUACAGUUUGGGGGUGGGGUGCCAAAAUGCAUUUCAAUCAUAUAACCUAGGUACGCCUCUUGUACAGCGCCACAACUUUCAAAAACUUCUGAAAUAAUCUACAGAGACAUAGACAACAACCAAGCAUAGAAAAUUCACUUCCACAAAAAAGUUGGAAAACUUUAUUUUACUUUAUUGUUACAUUAAAAAACAACAACAAACAUAUUUCACAACGGAGCUGUUGUGACAAAAAGGGGGAACUUUUUGGGCACAGAACCCCUUAAAUACUGGUUGCUGCAGACUCAUGAUUCUACGAUUGAUAGAAUUCUAAGUUUUAGCAAAUUGUCAGUGUGUCCCUGAAAUAGAAAUGGCAGCUGCCAAGUGACUUUUAAGACUCUAUAUCUUUUCCUAAGCACACGUUCCUUUGUUUUGUUUUUUUUUUGUUUCUUUUUUUUUUCCUUGAAAAUGUUUUGGGAAAGGCGUUAACCUCUUUCCGUGCCUCUAUUUUAGUUCCCUUUGUCCCCAAUAGGAUGAGUGCAGAGUAAAUGACACAACAGGAAAUAAGGAAGCUGUCUUCGGAAUCAGCAGACACUUCACCACGAUAUCCUCCACCUAGAACAUGGUCCGCACACGGAGCCUUGCCCGCACCGAGGAUAUGUGUGCAGUCUGGAGGCCUGGUGAAAGAUUUAGGAAGGGCAUCUGUAAUCACAAGGGGAGGGAAACUAAUUAUCUGAAUCAGUCUCAGAGGAAAGAGAGGAGCCCGAGGGUAAUAUUGGGGCGUUUUGCAAGAACAGUUCUGUUUGUUGAAAAGCUUGAAGAAAGUUAUAGAGUUGAUUGAAAAGGAAGCGUCAUGAGUAAAGGAUGCUUUUCCUUUUAGUUUCUGACAUAUAUAGAAACAUAGAAUGUGACGGCAGAUAAGAACCAUUUGGCCCAUCUAGUCUGCCCAAUUUUCUAAAUACUUUCAUUACUCCCUAGCCUUAUCUUAUAGUUAGGAUAGCCUUAUGCCUAUCCCACGCAUGCUUAAACUCCUUUACUGUGUUAACCUCUACCACUUCAGCUGGAAGGCUAUUCCAUGCAUCCACUACCCUCUCAGUAAAGUAAUACUUCCUGAUAUUAUUUUUAAGCCUUUGUCCCUCUAAUUUAAGACUAUGUUCUCUUGUUGUGGUAGUUUUUCUUCUUUUAAAUAUAGUCUCCUCCUUUACUGUGUUGAUUCCCUUUAUGUGCCCCCACCCUCAGGGUCCCCCUGCCGCCGGGCUGGAUGGAGAGGAAGGGGUAAACUUACCUCUUUCUCCAGCGCCGGGCGGGGAGCUCUGCUCCUCCUCUCCGCCCUCUCUCCUCAUCUUCGGCUGAAUGCGCAUGCACGACAAGAGCCGCGUGUGCAUUCAGCCAGUCCAUAGGAAAGCAUUCUGAAUGCUUUCCUAUGGACGCAAGCGUCUUCUCACUGUGAAAAUCACAGUGAGAAGCGCGGAAGCCCUCUAGCGGCUGUCAGUGAGACAGCCACUAGAGGCUGGAUUAACCCUAAUAUAAACAUAGCAGUUUCUCUGAAACUGCUAUGUUUACAGAAAAAAAGGUUAAUCCUAUCUGGACCUGGCACCCAGACCACUUCAUUAAGCUGAAGUGGUCUGGGUGCCUAUAGUGGUCCUUUAAAUGUUUCUAUCAUAUCCCCCCGUCUCGUCUUCCUCCAAGCUAUACAUGUUAAGUUCCUUUAACCUUUCCUGGUAAGUUUUAUCCUGCAAUCCAUGAACCAGUUUACUAGCCCUCCAUGAACCAGUUUAGUAGCCCAUGUCUAUGACUUUUUGUAACAGUGAAUAUAGUUCCAAAGUCACUUCUGUAACAACGUAACGAGGCCAAUGUGUCCACUGUAUAUAACAGGCCAUGAUUUUUUGGGCUUUGAUACUUGUUAAGAUGAUGAUUGAAAAACACAGUAAUUUAAUAUAUUUAAUGCCUCUUAUUGACCUCUUUCUGAAGAAAGAUCCUAGAGUCAAUAUGAAUCUGCUUUUCCGAGGACUCAAGCUGCUUUAUGCCUCUGAUAAUUGUUUUUAAAGCUCGUGUACAAUCUAGCUUCUACUCCCCUGAUCAAUUCUGUCCCAGAGUCACUGGAUGGUUUGUGUGACUCUUAUUGACAGUUACUCUGUGAAGCAGCUGCUUAUAAUAUGACUAAUUGGUGCUUAUUCCAUACUCAAUGAAAUCCUCUUCUGAGGCAAAAAUUAUAGAUUGGAGCAUUAAGUGCUCAGAGAUACAUAAAAAUCAAAUAAGUAUGGGAGAGUCUGCAUGCGCCAAAAAUGAAUAUUUUUAAUUGACAUUAUGUCUCUUAAUUGCGCCUUCUGAGUCUGCCAAAUACUCAAUGAAUUUAAAUGUUAAAUUGUAUUUUUCACUUUCUCGUUAUUCUUUUGGUAAUAGUUAUAAAUAAUUGCAAGCUUAGAUCCCUGAAAAUGUUAAACAACAGAGAAGCAAGUGUAGAAAGAACCCCCCCCACCCCCCCCCAAAAAAAAAUCAAAACAACAAACACAAACAAAACAACAAAAAGGAAGCACUGAUGGAAAUUUAAGAAUUCCUUUACAAAGUGUCAGUAUUUGUAAUUUUUCUCUUAAAUUCUUAAAAUGGAACAACAUAUAUUCUUAAAAGAAAAACAAAACCAAUUUAAAGUUCUCUAGUGGUUAAUACUGUUGGAUAAUGCACUGGCAAACAAACAUUACUUUAUUCUGCUGAGACUCAAAAAUGAAUAUAUUGUUGACCUAAAGGAUGAGAAUUUAAAAGAAUUGAAUCAUAAUUGCCAACCCUCACUAUUACCGUGGUCUCAUCUUAAACAGCCAUGUCUGUCUUAAUUUUGAAUAUCCCAAAGACGUGACAGGGAUGAGAACAUUAAAUAAGAAGAGAAAAAAAAUCUUGUGACAUAAUGAAACUUGUGAAAACGUGAUUACAUUUCAAACAGCAAAAAAUUGAUUUUCUGAACUAGUUUUCAGCUGACGCUUGAAUUCAGUGGCCUCAUAAAAACAUUUCUGCUUUUGAAAUAGAAUAAAGGUAUUCCUUAAAAGACUUGUGCGUUUGGUUUCAAACAAAUUAGAAUUAUAAUGGUCAUGAUAUCAUUUUUAUGGUAUUUUUUAUUAUAAAUAUAUUUUACAGUAUAUUGGUUGGUCCAUUUUCAUGACCUUUUGGUUUGUCCGAAUCGUUUGCCGUAACCAAAAUACCCUAUAAAUACAUUUUGGACGACCGGACUAUAUUUUUUUUCGGAUUAAUCAAUUCGGUCAAAACAGACUGAUGAUUUGCUGGUCCUGAAAUUACGUUUCAAGUUACGUUUAGUGGUUCUAAACAUUUUUAUGCAAAUAUUUUGCUGCUCUGCUCUACUUUUAUAAAUAGUCUAGUGGAAGUUUGAAAACAUGGGAUUUACAUUUUAAUACACGUGCCGUUUCUCCUGUUUAGAACGUGUAUUAUUCAGUAUGAUGAGUGCCAGUCUUUUCAGACACUUACUCUCCCUCGCCGGUUAACUCACUGACUGAUUCUUGUUUUUGCGUGGAUACAAUAUAUGAAGGAUUCCCAUACCAAAUGUUAGCAUUGUGCUUUUGUCAUUAGUAACUGAUGAAACAUCCAGUAUGCUUAAAGGGACACUAUAGGCACCCAGACCACUUCAGCUCAUUGAAGUGAUCUGGGUACAGUGCCCAUUUUGCCCUUAGUGCUGAAAUGGUUAACAUUGCAGUUCCAGAGAAACAGCAACGUUUACAUUGCAGCACUAAGUCUGCCUCCAGUUGCUGUCUUCCAGACAGCCACUGGGUGCGCUUCACGCUCUGCAUGAGGACAUCCAGAGUCAUCAAUUUCCCCAUAGCAAAGCAUUGAUUCAAUGCUUUCCUAGGGGGUGGGCAUAAUGCACGUGGCACUUGCACGGACAUCAGAGCUGGGAUCAGGUAAGUAAAUAAAGAAUUUUUAACCUUUUAUUCACCGCAGCUUGUGGGAGGGCGUGAGAGACGGGGGAGGCAGAGUGCCAUGAAUACAGCUUUGAAUUCCUGGCACUAGAGUAUUCCUUUAAUUUCCAAUUUUGCUUUCCCAUUACUCUUAAAAAACAACCUUUAUGCAUGAAUAAAAAAGGUUACUCAUAAGGAAAAAACAAAAAAAAUUCAGAUUCCUAAAAUACUUGCUAUCUUAUUAGCUCCACCCUUUGUGCCAGUAGGACCACAAUUAAACACAUAAAUUCAUUAAUUAAUAAAUCUACCCGGCUCUUUGCAAGAAGAGCCAAAAAUGUCAUAUCUCUAUCUUGGUUCCAACUUCCUAGAUGUUCCUGUGGAUCUCACAUUUUUAAUCCGUUCCAUUAACCUUAAAGGAACACUAUAGGGUCAGGAACACAAACAUGUAUUCCUGACCCUAUAGUGUUAAAACCACCAUCUAGCCACCCUGGUACCCUCGUGCCUCUAAAAAUAAAGUAAAAUCUUACUUGAAUUCAAGCCUGCAGCUGCAUAGUUUGUCCCGGUUUCCUUUAGACCUGCCCACUGCCUGCCGGCAUCAUCAGAGGAUUGGCUGAGACUGACAAAGAGGCAGAUCAGGGGCAGAGUCAGCACAAUUCAAACAAAGCCCUGGCCAAUCAGCAUCUCCUGAUCAGAUGAAUUCAAUCAAUGAAUCUCUAUGAGGAAAGUUCAGUGUCUGCAUGCAGAGGGAGGAGAUACUGAAUGUUUGGAUGCAUUUUAGGCAGCCAUGACCCAGGAAGGAUCUCUAACAGCCAUCUGAGGAGUAUCCAGUGAAGAUAUCACUAGGCUGUUUCUCUGAAAAGACAGUGUUUACAGCAAAAAGCCUGAAGGUAAUGAUUCUACUCACCAGAGCAAAUUCAAUUAGCUGUAGUUGUUCUGUUGACUGUAGUGUCCCAUUAAUAGAGUGAUGACUACAAGGGCCAUCUGUGAUCCCCAAAAUGAAGCCUUGGUUGUGUUAAUAGUGUUAAUAGUGUUAGUGUUGUGUUAAUACAUCUGCUGUGCAUAUCCUGUAUUUUAAGGUGACUACUACAGUAAGCAGGGGUUCUGAUGCUUCAAAAUGUUUUCAAACAUCCUAUGCUGUUAUCUCGUUUGACUUUCUGUUUUAACUUGGAAAAACCAACAGGAAAGUGGAGUAACAGCAUUUCCUAAGAAAAGUGACAAAUCUAUAUAUAAAGAAAUAAAAAUGUUUUUAUCGUUGCCAUAGUCUCUAUCAUAUGUCUAUACAAAAUAAACUCUAAUCUCUCAAAGUGGAACCUUGAGAAAAUAUCUUAAAGAGAAUCUGUAGUCCCGUAAAUAACAAUUAUAAUUUCGUGACUACAGUCUCCUUUCUUACAAUGUAAACAUUGUUAAACAUGUGUUAAACUUUAUCAUAUUCAUCAGUAUUGUCCCAGUCAGACCUGAGGAGGAGAGGAAAACUCUCAAAAGAUUUUUUUUAAAAUAUUAUGUUAGCCCAAUAAAAAGAAAGUAUCAUUUAAUACUGAAAUACUUAGCAUCAUGUUUUACUGGACUAAUACUCUAAUCUACAUUAAAAUAUUGUGUUCAUCUUUCUAUAAAUGCAGUAACUGGAAAUAUAAACAAAACAUUUAUCAUAGAAGUUAGUAGGUAAUGCCUUUUACUGUGACGUCAUCGGGAUUGUGUGACCUCACGAUGAUGCAGAAGACGUGAUCACUAAAAUACUACUGCGCAGUCACGAAUAAGUUAACACUGCCUGACUAUGCGUUAGCUAUGCGGUGAGGUAACUACACACAGGAUGCAGGCCGGAGGAAGAGAAAAUAAUACGGCUCUGAAAGCGAGCCAGAUCUGCUUGAAAAUGCAUUUCUCUCUCAUGCAAACUAUUUUACUUAGAAAGCAACAUGUGAAACUGAUCUGAAGUUUGCUCAGCGGCUGGAUAGAAGGUCAGUGUUAUCCUCUGCUCCAAGUGUGUGGGAGACUCUCUGGCUUCCUCUGACAUUCUAUGGAACGCUUUCAAAGAUUCGUCUGGAAGUUUUGGAAACCACUCCUAAAUCCUGAAGAACCUCUAUUAGAAGGAAGAAUGUCCUUGCAAGAGAACUGGUGGCAAUGACUGCUGCAGUUACAGCAGUUUUACAGUAACGCCUGCAAGGUUUUGGGGUUUUUAAAGGUCCGAUUGUUGACACCACUAAUGUUUGCGAGGAAAUGGGGUGCACUUUCAAAGACUGUUUGUGAAUGGUAAAAAAAAAUGGGGUGCUUGCUAUAAAACCGGUGGAUCUGCUACAGGCUGACAGAUUAUAACGGGAGUUGUAGUCCAACUAUAUCUAAAGGACAUUAUUAUUAUUAUAUUUCUAUAGCGCCAACAAAUUCUGCAGCGCUUUACAAUGGAUGGACUAACAGGCGUGUAGUUGUAACCAGACAAGUUUGAUGCACAGGAACAGAGGGGUUGAGGGCCCUGCUCAAUGAGCUUACAUGCUAGAGGGAGUGGGGUAAAGUGACACAAAAAGGUAAGGGAAGUAUUAGGGAAGUUGAUUGGUAGAAUAGUGUUCACUUUUGACUUAGUGUGUUUUUUUUUUGUUUUGUUUUUUGACAAUUGCAGGAGAUGAAUACGUUGGGAGCCAUUAACAGUUUAGCUGAUAUGCUAUUGUGAAAAAGUGGGUUUUUAAUGAUUUUUUUAAGGAAUGGAGACUGGGUGAAAGUCUAACUAAGAAGGGAAGGGAGUUCCACAGAAAUGGCGCAGCCCUAGAGAAGUCUUGAAGGCGAGCAGAGGUGGAAGUACAAACAGAGGAUAGACGUAGGUCUAUGGCAGAGCGUAGGGGCCUAGAUGGGACAUACUUGAGUAUUAGGGAGGAUACUGUCACAGUUCUCACCGUGAUAUCCAGACAGCCAGACCUGGUUGCCCCAAAAGUGCCCAACAGGGGAUAUGAACCUGGAUCCUUCUGUGUCCUGGGCCUGCUGUUUUGCCUCUGAGCCUCAUUUCUGUUCUUGCUUCAGCCUGAUGUUUAUCUUUGCCUUGUCUCCAGCACUGGGGGCUGGACUUUUCCUGUGGCUGCUCCUAUCAAUCUCGGUCCACCUGAAGCAUAUCGCUAAUUAGCCAGGUAUAAAACACUGCCUCUCUCUUAGGGCAGUGUCACUUCAUUGACUCUGGUUC
This 13101-nucleotide long non-coding RNA is filed under the name Pelobates cultripes (western spadefoot toad). The record is from RNAcentral. Lineage: Eukaryota; Metazoa; Chordata; Amphibia; Anura; Pelobatidae.